UUGGUGGGACUAGCAUGUCACUAAAGCAGG
RNAcentral lists this non-coding RNA (30 nucleotides) under Cricetulus griseus (Chinese hamster). The record is from RNAcentral. Lineage: Eukaryota; Metazoa; Chordata; Mammalia; Rodentia; Cricetidae.